AGACCAGACUCCUACGGGAGGCAGCAGUGAGGAAUAUUGGUCAAUGGGCGAGAGCCUGAACCAGCCAAGUCGCGUGAAGGAUGACGGCCCUACGGGUUGUAAACUUCUUUUGUCAGGGAGCAAUUGGGUCCACGCGUGGGCUUAGCGAGAGUACCUGAAGAAAAAGCAUCGGCUAACUCCGUGCCAGCAGCCGCGGUAAUACGGAGGAUGCGAGCGUUAUCCGGAUUUAUUGGGUUUAAAGGGUGCGCAGGCGUUGUAGGAGGGCGGUGGUAACCGCCGGGGCACCCCCCCCGCCCCGCCGUUGAAACUGGCAGUCUCGAGUUGGAGAGAAGUAUGCGGAAUGCGCGGUGUAGCGGUGAAAUGCAUAGAUAUCGCGCAGAACUCCGAUUGCGAAGGCAGCAUGCCGGCUCCACACUGACGCUGAGGCACGAAAGCGUGGGUAUCGAACAGGAUUAGAUACCCGUGUAAG
RNAcentral lists this ribosomal RNA (469 nucleotides) under uncultured bacterium. RNAcentral's name for it is "bacterial SSU rRNA". It matches the Rfam family "Bacterial small subunit ribosomal RNA", at positions 328 to 793 of the family's 1533-position model. The record is from RNAcentral.